UCCACCUGGAAGGGAAUCAACACGGGGUCUCUUGUGAAUGAGUGGCCCAAAGACCUUUGCCUAUCCCUGUAAAUCACAAGUUAGCUCACACCGUUGGUUAAUGGGAACAUUCCUCCUGCCAGAACUAUGAUUUUCUUCACAAACAUGACUCAUGUCAAUGCACAAGGAACAAAGAAGGCAAUCCAACUGCAUGGUACGGUUUCAAGGGAGCACAGCGUUAAACAUUUGUGAGGUGCUGGAUCUGGCGGGACAGGCCAGUAAUCCCAGCUACUGUGGAGACGGAGGAUGGCAAGUUCAAGAUCAGCCCCAUCAACUUAAUGGAGACUCCAAAUAAACGCUUGCUGGUGUUACUGUUCCUGAUUGUCAGUCCUCCUGGAGACAGAAGGAUCAGGACUGGAAUGCCAUCCCUUGCUAAAUACAGAGUUCAAGGCCAGCCUGAGCUACAUGAGACCCUGACUCCAGAAAGCAAACCACAACAAAACAGAGAUGGGGACUAUAGCUCAAAUGUAGCGAGGGGCUUGUCCAGAUUUAGCAUGUGUGAAGCUUCACAUUCAAACCCGGUUUGUGGAUCAACAUCUUCCUUGACCUAUUAGAAAUGCCAUUUACAAAAUCCAGGCUCGUCAUUACCGUGAUAUAUGCUAGCACCUCAAGAUAAUUGCCACCCGGGUUUGUAAGUGCAAUCCCCAGAAGCUAGGCUCGGUCGUCCCCAUCCCGAAAGGCCCUUUAUGUCGGCUCUAGUGGCUUUUAUACUUAGAGUGUGAUGAAUGCCAUGUGGCAGACAAUGAUUUUUUUUUAUUGGUACAUAUGCCAUUUAAGUGAUUAAAUCUCCAAGAGAGUUUGGGUGGGGAAAACAUCAUAAAGGGUUAUACUCGCAAAUGUGAUUGACAAAUGGUCUCCAGUCUACCGGCCAAAUACAAAAAGCCAAGGAACUGAGUGAUCCCAGCCAGACAGUCCCAUCCACCCAGCCCCGGAGGAAACAGCAAGGGCAUUUAAGGGCCUUGACACGCAAGCAGCUCACUGAGUGUUCCACUUGGGCUCAGGCUUCCAGGCCUUGAAGCUCUCUCUGGGGCCAGGUAGCGAGCCAAGCCCUCUGAAGGAGGCCAGUGGAAAGGCCUGGACGUGCUGGCGGGAGAGCCAAGUUCUUUUCUGCAUGUGUUAUGUGAACAGAUGUGAGGGAGGAAGUAGGUCAAGCUGUGGGUGUAGUGAUCCCAACGGGCUGCACCCCUUAAUUAUACGGAAACAUUGGAGCCUUGCAGCUCUCCAGCAGCUGAACAGCAGAGAGGGGGAAACAUACAAAGUUCCCUGGGACAGGAGGAGAGCACUAUACAUUCCAGCUGCGACAAAGGUGCCAACGAGUGGUCAAGUGUCAGGGAGAAAGAGAGAGGGAAGGCGGUAAAAACGGCACCUGCUUCUGGAAGACUCUAAAAGUGGCUACCCCUUUCUAACUGGAUGGGUGGUUGUUGCAGAAGAAUUCUGCUGGGAAAUCCCACUUAAGAGCAAACUCCAGUUUGUGUGCAGUGAGUGGCAGAUACGGAAGGACAGGUGAAGAGGGAAAAAUCCAUACAAUGCCCAAACCCAGAAAUGUUUGUUUCAGGACCUUUGGGGAGAGUUUAAGGCAAGGUCCAGGCUCAGACUGGAUUUAGUCAAACCACAGACAAUACACAAACAUGAGGGCUGCUUCCUGAUUUCUCCUCCAGAUGCCUACCAGGUAAGGAGACACUUAUGUUUCCCCCAAGUAAAUACAGUUACUUCUAAAGAUUGUGCCAUGUUCCCAGGAAGAAGCAACUGGGCUAAGACUGGAGGCCAGCUUGGCGGCAGAGGUAGGCCUGCAGCAAAUGAACAAGGCCAUGUCACCUCCUCCAGGUAGCACAGAUCCGUGAAAAGUCUAAGCAACGCAGUCCCAAAGUGCUCCAUGGGGGCCUGGUGGGCUUUGCCCAGUGCUCUAAGGACCUGCUGCCACUCAUUGGCAGUCCAAACAUCUUCUGGAGUGUUUUUAGGGUGCUCAUCAGCAGCUUAAACACCCCUGUCACAAUCGGGCCUGGCCCUGUCGGGGACGCACAUGUUUGUGACAUGUGCAGCCUUAGGCUGGUAAAGCAGCUCCCGGUAAGGAACUUUGAGCGGAACAGGGAAAUGCCUCCGAAGAGGCUGUGUCAGCCUUUGUGAGCAGGCCUGUGCAGGCGGGCUUUACUGUCCGCGUCUGAGAGGCAGCCCAGAAGCGCAGCCUCGGCUCCCUGAAUGCACCAUGCUUCUCCUACCAUGAUCAACGGGAACAGCUUCGCUAUCGCAGGAGCAGAGAGCCAGUAAGACCUGCCAUUGAGUGAGGAAAACUUAUAUAUUCAGCACAGAGAAAACACUGGCCAGACAGGUAUUAAAACAUCCAAAUAGAAACCGACGUUAUAUUCAAAUAGAAACAGAAUUACUACAUCAACGGACAUUCACAUGCAACCUCAGAACUAAAGCCAGCUCUUAAGGAUCCCCUUCCAAUUGAAGGUCCUCAAUGCCCCUUUUGAAUAGCAACUCGAGAUUGUUUCCUGGAAGAACAAAGCAGCCCUGAGGCUUUGAAGGGAUAUUAAGAGCCUUGAUUGCCCGGUAGCUUUGCAAGAUGGAUGCAUGGUGUAUCAGAUUUGCAUGAGAACUCCACUGCAUUACAGACUCUGGUCCUCUAUGGAAGAGAGGCUUAUGCUGAGAACAUAUUGGUUAUAUAUGGCAACGUAAGCUCAUAAUUAAAGCUGUACCACACCUUCA
Long non-coding RNA from Mesocricetus auratus (golden hamster), 2745 nucleotides. RefSeq lists it as uncharacterized. Lineage: Eukaryota; Metazoa; Chordata; Mammalia; Rodentia; Cricetidae. The transcript has 3 exons. The record is from RefSeq and is a predicted model, not a curated record.